RNAcentral lists this ribosomal RNA (781 nucleotides) under uncultured Neocallimastigales. Its description in RNAcentral is "partial large subunit ribosomal RNA". It matches the Rfam family "Eukaryotic large subunit ribosomal RNA", at positions 25 to 634 of the family's 3401-position model. Lineage: Eukaryota; Fungi; Neocallimastigomycota; Neocallimastigomycetes; Neocallimastigales. The record is from RNAcentral.
ACACUGACGUCGCGACGCAUAUCAAUAAGCGGAGGAAAAGAAACUAACAAGGAUUCCCUUAGUAACGGCGAGUGAAGCGGGAAGAGCUCAAAUUUGAAAUCUUCAAGGUUCUACCUUGACGAAUUGUAGUUUAAAGAAGUGUUUUCUGUUAGUGGAGUGGCAAAAGUUCUUUGGAAUAGGACAUCAUAGAGGGUGAGAAUCCCGUAUUUGGAUCCAUUAUUUCUAGCUGUGUGAUACACUUUCAAAGAGUCGGAUUGUUUGGGAAUGCAGUCCAAAAUGGGUGGUAAAUUUCAUCUAAAGCUAAAUAUUGGCGAGAGACCGAUAGCGAACAAGUACCGUGAGGGAAAGAUGAAAAGAACUUUGAAAAGAGAGUUAAACAGUACGUGAAAUUGUCAAAAGGGAAGCGUUUGACACCAGUGUUGUUUUUCCGAAAAUCAAUUACGAAUGGUUUGAUUUCUGAUGAGUGAUGACCUUCAUCAGCUUCCUGCAUCUCUUUCACGAAGUCUUUUGUAAUGCACUUUUCGGUUAACAAGUCAACAUCAAUUUCUUUUGUUGUAAAAGAGUAUUCGGAAGGUGGCUUUCUUUUCGGAGAAAGUGUUUAUAGCCCUAUACUUCUACAAUCGGAGAGAUUGAGGUCUGCAGCGUAGAUCCUUCGGGGUUAGAUACACUUGUGCUAAGUUAUAGCUUUUCAUAGACAACUUGUUGACUAUGUUUAGUCUUGUAGCUUACUCGCUUGUGCUAUUUUACCUACGCUUAGGAUGUUGAGUCGUAGAGCACGCAG